RNAcentral lists this transfer RNA (76 nucleotides) under Opitutaceae bacterium. RNAcentral describes it as "tRNA-Ile". It matches the Rfam family "tRNA". Rfam says of the family: Transfer RNA (tRNA) molecules are approximately 80 nucleotides in length. Their secondary structure includes four short double-helical elements and three loops (D, anti-codon, and T loops). Lineage: Bacteria; Pseudomonadati; Verrucomicrobiota; Opitutia; Opitutales; Opitutaceae. The record is from RNAcentral.
GGGCCCUUAGCUCAAUGGUUAGAGCAGGGGACUCAUAAUCCCUUGGUUGUGGGUUCGAAUCCCACAGGGCCCACCA